UACAUGCAUGACUGUAUGUCGCUUUGGAUAAAAGUGUCUGCUUAAUGGCAUAUA
Molecule: non-coding RNA, 54 nt
Organism: Salmo salar (Atlantic salmon)
Lineage: Eukaryota; Metazoa; Chordata; Actinopteri; Salmoniformes; Salmonidae
Source: Rfam